AAUAUUGCACAAUGGGGGAAACCCUGAUGCAGCAACGCCGCGUGAGUGAUGACGGCCUUCGGGUUGUAAAGCUCUGUCUUCAGGGACGAUAAUGACGGUACCUGAGGAGGAAGCCACGGCUAACUACGUGCCAGCAGCCGCGGUAAUACGUAGGUGGCGAGCGUUGUCCGGAUUUACUGGGGGUAAAGGGAGCGUAGGCGGAUUUUUAAGUGAGAUGUGAAAUACUCGGGCUUAACCUGGGUGCUGCAUUUCAAACUGGAAGUCUAGAGUGCAGGAGAGGAGAAGGGAAUUCCUAGUGUAGCGGUGAAAUGCGUAGAGAUUAGGAAGAACACCAGUGGCGAAGGCGCUUCUUUGGACUGUAACUGACGCUGAGGCUCGAAAGCGUGGGGAGCAAACAGGAUUAGAUACCCUGGUUGUCCACCCCGUAAACGAUGAAUACUAGGUGUAGGGGUUGUCAUGA
This 460-nucleotide ribosomal RNA is filed under the name uncultured bacterium. RNAcentral describes it as "bacterial SSU rRNA". It matches the Rfam family "Bacterial small subunit ribosomal RNA", at positions 360 to 837 of the family's 1533-position model. The record is from RNAcentral.